Molecule: long non-coding RNA, 461 nt
Organism: Oncorhynchus gorbuscha (pink salmon)
Lineage: Eukaryota; Metazoa; Chordata; Actinopteri; Salmoniformes; Salmonidae
Exons: 3
Source: RefSeq, a predicted model, not a curated record
GAACUACAUCUGGGAGCAAGGAAAGGAUUCGAGGGAUGGACGAAUGUUUGGAAUUCCGUUAUAAUGAACAUUGUUUCGAACAGAACGUGAUUUAUCAAUUUAAUUCAGAGAUCUACUAAACGUGUAACUUUACAUUUUGAUUGUACCUUUGAGCUUUGGCUAAAUUUGAUCAUGGCUUCUUCGCCGUCCUCUCCCAAAUCGCCGACGACUCCGAAAUCUCCCUCUUCCAGAAAAAAAAUGACUCGUUCCUGGGAAAACUUGGAGGAACUUUAGUAAGAAGAAAGAACGGAAAAGAAGAGAACCUGGAGGGGGAGAAGUUGAACGUGGCUGAGGUGACCCAGUCGUAGAUCGCCCAGAAGCUGGAGACUCCAUCAAGAUCUCCGCCAGGAGCAUCAAAUGGAACGUGGACUCUGUACAUGCUAAGAGUAUAGUGGCCAUUCUUCACCUGUUGAUGGCGCUGU